RNAcentral lists this ribosomal RNA (253 nucleotides) under uncultured bacterium. Its description in RNAcentral is "partial 16S ribosomal RNA". It matches the Rfam family "Bacterial small subunit ribosomal RNA", at positions 524 to 776 of the family's 1533-position model. The record is from RNAcentral.
GACAGAGGGGGCAAGCGUUGCUCGGAAUCACUGGGCGUAAAGAGUGCGUAGGCGGUUUUUUAAGUUUGGUGGGAAAUCUCCCGGCUUAACUGGGAGGGUGCGCCGAAGACUGGAAGGCUUGAGUAUGGGAGAGGUAAGCGGAAUUCCUGGUGUAGCGGUGAAAUGCGUAGAUAUCAGGAGGAACACCUGCGGUGUAGACGGCUUACUGGACCAUCACUGACGCUGAGGCACGAAAGCGUGGGUAGCAAACAGG